AUUGAACGCUGGCGGCAGGCCUAACACAUGCAAGUCGAGCGGAGCGGCGGACGGGCGAGUAAUGCCUAGGAAUCUGCCUGGUAGUGGGGGAUAACGUCCGGAAACGGGCGCUAAUACCGCAUACUAUCAGAUGAGCCUAGGUCGGAUUAGCUAGUUGGUGGGGUAAAGGCCUACCAAGGCGACGAUCCGUAACUGGGCUGAGAGGAUGAUCAGUCAAACUGGGACUGAGACACGGUCCAGACUCCUACGGGAGGCAGCAGUGGGGAAUAUUGGACAAUGGGCGAAAGCCUGAUCCAGCCAUGCCGCGUGUAUGAAGAAGGUCUUCGGAUUGUAAAGCACUUUAAGUUGGGAGGCGUUACCCACAGAAGAAGCACCGGCUAACUCCGUGCCAGCAGCCGCGGUAAUUC
RNAcentral lists this ribosomal RNA (407 nucleotides) under uncultured bacterium. RNAcentral describes it as "partial 16S ribosomal RNA". It matches the Rfam family "Bacterial small subunit ribosomal RNA", at positions 30 to 526 of the family's 1533-position model. The record is from RNAcentral.